CUCCUACGGGAGGCAGCAGUAAGGAAUUUUGGGCAAUGGGGGAAACCCUGACCCAGCAACGCCGCGUGAAGGAUGAAGUAUUUCGGUAUGUAAACUUCGAAAGAAUAGGAAGAAUUAAUGACGGUACUAUUUAUAAGGUCCGGCUAACUACGUGCCAGCGCCGCGGUAA
Molecule: ribosomal RNA, 169 nt
Filed under: uncultured bacterium
Lineage: Bacteria
Description: partial 16S ribosomal RNA
Rfam family: Bacterial small subunit ribosomal RNA
Source: RNAcentral